CCAUACAGUGCUUUUUUUUUGUCUGCGAUUUCCAAUUCAACUGAUCAAAAUUUUUAGUCCUUUUUCCGGCAAAGAUUAAUAGACAGUGUUUCAGAUUUUCCGUGAUGUUUGAAGCAAUCUCUACUCAAUAAAAGGAUAAGCUCACGCGCGGGUGUCUACAAACAUGGCCUGUGAAGUGUUGCAUAACCAUUGCCAGCCGAUUCUUGUCAAUGGUGAAUUGAUGCCUACAGUGCCAGAGUACACGCCCUCGCUUCUCGUCUCAUUGAAGGGUAUUAAACAACAUAUCGUUUGCAAGUCAUCUGCCCUGACAACUCCAAUCACAUCAAGCCCUACAACUUUUG
Strongylocentrotus purpuratus (purple sea urchin) is the source of this 341-nucleotide long non-coding RNA. RefSeq lists it as uncharacterized. The record is from RefSeq and is a predicted model, not a curated record. The transcript has 3 exons. Lineage: Eukaryota; Metazoa; Echinodermata; Echinoidea; Camarodonta; Strongylocentrotidae.